RNAcentral lists this ribosomal RNA (568 nucleotides) under uncultured bacterium. RNAcentral describes it as "bacterial SSU rRNA". It matches the Rfam family "Bacterial small subunit ribosomal RNA", at positions 338 to 916 of the family's 1533-position model. The record is from RNAcentral.
CCUACGGGAGGCAGCAGUGGGGAAUAUUGCACAAUGGGCGCAAGCCUGAUGCAGCGACGCCGCGUGAAGGAUGACGGCCUUCGGGUUGUAAACCUCUUUCAGUAGGGAAGAAGCGAAAGUGACGGUACCUGCAGAAGAAGCGCCGGCUAACUACGUGCCAGCAGCCGCGGUAAUACGUAGGGCGCAAGCGCUAUCCGGAAUUAUUGGGCGUAAAGAGCUCGUAGGCGGUUUGUCGCGUCUGCCGUGAAAGUCCGGGGCUCAACUCCGGAUCUGCGGUGGGUACGGGCAGACUAGAGUGAUGUAGGGGAGACUGGAAUUCCUGGUGUAGCGGUGAAAUGCGCAGAUAUCAGGAGGAACACCGAUGGCGAAGGCAGGUCUCUGGGCAUUAACUGACGCUGAGGAGCGAAAGCAUGGGGAGCGAACAGGAUUAGAUACCCUGGUAGUCCAUGCCGUAAACGUUGGGCACUAGGUGUGGGGGACAUUCCACGUUUUCCGCGCCGUAGCUAACGCAUUAAGUGCCCCGCCUGGGGAGUACGGCCGCAAGGCUAAAACUCAAAGGAAUUGACGG